Molecule: ribosomal RNA, 366 nt
Filed under: uncultured bacterium
Lineage: Bacteria
Description: bacterial SSU rRNA
Rfam family: Bacterial small subunit ribosomal RNA
Source: RNAcentral
AGCGAACGCUAGCGGCGGGCCUAACACAUGCAAGUCGAGCGCAUACCUUCGGGUAUGAGCGGCGGACGGGUGAGUAACGCGUAGGUCAUCUACCCUUUGGUGGGGGAUAACCCAGGGAAACUUGGGCUAAUACCGCACGAGGUCUACGGAUCAAAGCCUUCGGGCGCCAGAGGAUGAGCCUGCGUCGCAUUACCUAGUUGGCGGGGUAACGGCCCACCAAGGGGACGAUGCGUAGUUGGUCUGAGAGGAUGAUCAGCCACACUGGGACUGAGACACGGCCCAGACUCCUACGGGAGGCAGCAGUGGGGAAUAUUGCGCAAUGGGGGAAACCCUGAUCCAGCCAUGCCGCGUGAGUGAAGAAGGCCU